This 59-nucleotide transfer RNA is filed under the name Stenamma muralla. Its description in RNAcentral is "tRNA-Ser". The record is from RNAcentral. Lineage: Eukaryota; Metazoa; Arthropoda; Insecta; Hymenoptera; Formicidae.
GAAAUAAUUUAAAGUGAAUUUCUAACUCACUGUCUAUGAUUAAUCAAUCAUUUAUUUCU